GCCAGCAUGGCAUAGUGGUUUGAAUGUUGGACUACAACUCUGGAGACUAAGGUUUGAUUCCUUGCUCAGCCA
Phrynosoma platyrhinos (Desert horned lizard) is the source of this 72-nucleotide non-coding RNA. NCBI's taxonomy places the organism in Eukaryota, Metazoa, Chordata, Lepidosauria, Squamata, Phrynosomatidae. The record is from the annotation of a GenBank genome assembly.